This 467-nucleotide ribosomal RNA is filed under the name uncultured bacterium. Its description in RNAcentral is "partial 16S ribosomal RNA". It matches the Rfam family "Bacterial small subunit ribosomal RNA", at positions 28 to 507 of the family's 1533-position model. The record is from RNAcentral.
GACGAACGCUGGCGGCGUGCUUAACACAUGCAAGUCGAACGGAAAGGCCUCUUUCGGGGGGUACUCGAGUGGCGAACGGGUGAGUAACACGUGAGUAACCUGCCCUUGACUUUGGGAUAACUUCAGGAAACUGGGGCUAAUACCCGAUAGGAGCUCCUGCUGCAUGGUGGGGGUUGGAAAGUUUCGGCGGUUGGGGAUGGACUCGCGGCUUAUCAGCUUGUUGGUGGGGUAGUGGGUUACCAAGGCUUUGACGGGUAGCCGGACUGAGGGGGUGACAGGCCACAUUGGGACUGAGGUGCGGCCCAGACGCCGACGGGAGGCAGCAGUGGGGAAUAUUGAACAAUGGGUGGAAGCCUGAUGCAGCAGCGCCGUGGGCGGGAUGACGGCCUUAGUGUUGAAAACCGCUUGCGCUCAUGACGAAGCUUUGUGUGACGGUAGUGGGUAAAGAAGCACCGGCUAACUACGUG